GAUGAAGAACGCAGCGAAAUGCGAUACGUAAUGUGAAUUGCAGAAUUCAGUGAAUCAUCGAAUCUUUGAACGCAUAUUGCGCUCUUUGGUAUUCCGAAGAGCAUGCUUGUUUGAGUAUCAGUAAACACCUCAAAGCUUUUGGAUUUUUUAAUCGAAAAGCUUUGGACUUGAGCAAUCCCAACACCAAUCUUUUUGAGAUCAGUGGCGGGUUGCUUGAAAUGCAGGUGCAGCUGGACAUUCUCCUGAGCUAAAAGCAUAUUCAUUUAGUCCCGUCAAACGGAUUAUUACUUUUGCUGCAGCUAACAUAAAGGGAGUUUGACCGUAUUGGCUGACUGAUGCAGGAUUUCACAAGGGUCGGCAACGAUUCUUGUUAAACUCGAUCUCAAAUCAAGUAAGACUACCCGCUGAACUUAAGCAUAUCAAUAAGCGGAGGA
Molecule: unclassified non-coding RNA, 434 nt
Filed under: soil metagenome
Description: partial contains 5.8S ribosomal RNA, internal transcribed spacer 2, and large subunit ribosomal RNA
Rfam family: 5.8S ribosomal RNA (bases 1-120)
Source: RNAcentral